UUCCUGAUUUUCCCAUCGUUCGGGGCAUUCUGGGGCUGUUUUGGCUAUUGGUUGCUUGUUUGGUCUUGAGCUGAACGGGUGGCUUCUAGUCCGGUGGCUUCGGGGAUGUUGUCCGUAAAGGUGGAUGAGUGGUGUUUGGUUUGUUACGUGUGGUUGGCUGCGGCGUUUGCAACAACUUCCAUGCUUUCAGACCUCUUCAGUUGUGCGGCAAGGCUUGUAUCGCCUUGAGCGUAUCGUGGGUUUUCUGUGUUGGCUACCUAAUCGACGGUAUCGGUUGGAUUGAUCAAAGUUUGAUUUCGUCUUCCGUCGCAUUCGCGGCGUGAGGUGAACCUUGAUGCGGUCUCUUUGAUCCACCUCGUCGGAGCACAUGCUUUGACGUUGUGGCGCAUUGAGCAUUGCUUGGUCUCUUGUAUACGGAACAUAUAGUGGGCAUGGAUCUAACGAUUCUCGUUUGCCCUCAUAUUAGCGUAACGCUUCUCUUACACGACUUGCUCCACGUUUUAG
This 504-nucleotide unclassified non-coding RNA is filed under the name Artemisia chamaemelifolia. RNAcentral's name for it is "external transcribed spacer". Lineage: Eukaryota; Viridiplantae; Streptophyta; Magnoliopsida; Asterales; Asteraceae. The record is from RNAcentral.